AUUAUUCAAGAGGAAAGGAUGCAAAUGAAGAUCAUUCAAGAAAGCAGAAGCCAACCCAGAAAGGCAAGGACUCUUCCUCUGUGUGGCCACAGUAUGUCACAGCAGAGCCCUGGCUCUCCUGGUGGCCUCCCUCUCACACCAUGAAACUUCUGGACUCCAGGGACCCACAGCUGCACCCAACGAAUUUCACUUUGGCCUGAUCUUGGAUCCACUGAGCAACAGAAAUUUGGGAUGUGAAUUUGGUGGAGCUGGUGUGGACUAGGUCAAGCAAUGAGAAAGGACACAGGAUCAUGGAGAGAAGUGGAUGAGGGGAAGUCGGGGACCUGAGAACUCACUUCUAUGUUUGCAGUGUUCAGCCCCUGGUAAGAGACCUCCUCCUGACAUCCAAGGGGAAGCAUGGAUGUGGUACAGAGAGCCCCACAACUCUGGUCUGGGCUCCCGCAGAAGGCCAGGGGCCAGCACACAAAGGCCACUGUGAGGAGCAGACAUCCGAUGGACCAGCUUCUGAGGUGUCAGAGAGAGACUGA
Long non-coding RNA from Homo sapiens (human), 527 nucleotides. NCBI's taxonomy places the organism in Eukaryota, Metazoa, Chordata, Mammalia, Primates, Hominidae. The record is from Ensembl.